UUGAUGUCUAAUCGGUCCUGCUAUGUCU
This 28-nucleotide small RNA is filed under the name Bombyx mori (domestic silkworm). RNAcentral's name for it is "ovarian small RNA-37759". Lineage: Eukaryota; Metazoa; Arthropoda; Insecta; Lepidoptera; Bombycidae. The record is from RNAcentral.